Molecule: transfer RNA, 75 nt
Filed under: Lachnospiraceae bacterium
Lineage: Bacteria; Bacillati; Bacillota; Clostridia; Lachnospirales; Lachnospiraceae
Description: tRNA-Pro
Rfam family: tRNA
About the family: Transfer RNA (tRNA) molecules are approximately 80 nucleotides in length. Their secondary structure includes four short double-helical elements and three loops (D, anti-codon, and T loops).
Source: RNAcentral
CGGUGCGUGGCUCAGCUUUGGUAGAGCGCGUCGUUCGGGACGACGAAGUCGCAGGUUCGAAUCCUGUCGCACCGA